GCCAAAUCAAAAUAAGUGCUGUAAGAAGAUAAUUUAGGCUAGCAGCCUCAAGUUGGAGAUUACAGUUCACUGAGAAAAUCUUCAGCAGGGUCCGAUCUUCUUUUGCUAAAUCUAGGUUGAGCCUAAGUACGUCCCCAGACUGAAACAAA
Molecule: long non-coding RNA, 149 nt
Organism: Oxyura jamaicensis (ruddy duck)
Lineage: Eukaryota; Metazoa; Chordata; Aves; Anseriformes; Anatidae
Exons: 3
Source: RefSeq, a predicted model, not a curated record